RNAcentral lists this ribosomal RNA (466 nucleotides) under uncultured bacterium. RNAcentral's name for it is "partial 16S ribosomal RNA". It matches the Rfam family "Bacterial small subunit ribosomal RNA", at positions 28 to 507 of the family's 1533-position model. The record is from RNAcentral.
GAUGAACGCUGGCGGCGUGCUUAACACAUGCAAGUCGAACGGAAAGGCUCCUGCCUUCAUGUUUCCUCGAGUGGCGAACGGGUGAGUAACACGUGUGUGUUCUGCCCUGUACUUCGGGAUAAGCUUGGUAAACUGGGUCUCAUACCGGAUAUGACAAUCUCUUUUAUGUGGUUGUUGAUAGCUUUUUCGGUUUGGGAUGAUCUCGCGGCGUAUCAGCUUGUUUGUGGGGUUAUGUCCUACAAAGGCGUCGCCGGGUAGCCGGCCUGAGAGGGUGAAAGGCCACAUUGGGACAGAGAUACGGGCAAGACUCCUACGGGAGGAAGCAGUGGGGAAUAUUGCAAGAUGGGCGCAAGCAUGAUGCAGCGACGCCGGGUGGGGGAUGACGGCCGUAGGGUUGUAAACUCCUUGCGCAAGGGAAGAAGCUUUUGUGACGGUAGGUUGAGAAGAAGCACCGGCUAACUACGUG